This is an RNA transcript of Xenia sp. Carnegie-2017, 1134 nucleotides long. RefSeq lists it as uncharacterized. The transcript is spliced from 5 exons. The record is from RefSeq and is a predicted model, not a curated record. NCBI's taxonomy places the organism in Eukaryota, Metazoa, Cnidaria, Anthozoa, Malacalcyonacea, Xeniidae.
AUACGAGAUAUGAUCCAGUGUAAUGACGCCAACGCGCGAAACUUUAUAAGAUUAUUCAACUACAUAAUGAAAAUCAUGUUAAAACCACGAGAAGUUAAACUUGAAUCCUAACUUCAUUAGUAUUUUCUCUGAUAGCAUAUUUUUUAAUUUUGUAAAUAUGCAUUAAAGAUGACCUCUAAGCGAAAAUCUAAAAGGAAAGGGAGAAAAAAUGUUAAUUAUACUGAUAUGAGCUCCAAUUGUGAAAGUGAUGAUGAUUUUGAAGUUGAUUUUGAACCACAAACAAAGAAGGCGAAGCAUAAAGAGAAGGAAAUGAACAAAGAGAAGAAAGGCGAGAGAAGAUGAUGAUGCACUCGACUCCUGCGAUGCAGGUGACACCUGCGAUAAGAGUAGUGUUAAAGUGAACAAGAUUCAUGACAAUGAUGUCGAAAGUGAUUCCAAUGAAGAGAAAAUUGUGAACCUGAAGAACGGCAAGAAAAUGUCUGGUGGGAGUCAUAUGUUUUCCGAGUCAUCCGACUAAAAAUGCACCCCUGUUGUUGGUACAAAGGAGAAAAAGUCAUCACCUAUAAAUUCUUCCAAAGAGAACUUUGAACAUUUGAAAAAUGAAAGGAAAAUUUCCACAUUUUCUUGCGUUGGUACAAACGAGAAAAAGUCAUCACCUAUAAAUUCUUCUAAAGAGAGCGUUAAGCAUAUGAAAAAUGAGGGGACAAUCUCAACAUUUUCAUUGAUACCUGACGAAGCAAAAUUUAUUAGAAACAUGAUGAAUAAAGUACAAUCUCUAAAAAGGCGUGUUAUAGCCACAUCUACGUCCUAUGACUUCUCUAACUGGUUUCUCAAAUCUUAAAAAUUCACAACUUUUGUUGACGUUGUGUGACUCAAAGAAGAGAAUGAACAACUUAACUGCAAUAUUAUAUGCGUGUCUUCGUGAGAAUUUCAAUGCAAAUUUAAAGCACGCUAAUAAAAUUACGUCAAUGGAAUUAAGCUGUUGAAUAAUUUAAACAUUAAAAAGAAUUUUUUUAAAAGGUGUUUUUAUUUUUUUGCAAUCAGUAUUAAAUAUUCCCUGUCACACAAUCUGACUCAAAAGCAACGUAACAAAAGAGACAUUUCUUUGCAGAUUUUUUCAGAAUGCGUUUUUUU